Paramuricea clavata is the source of this 1690-nucleotide non-coding RNA. Lineage: Eukaryota; Metazoa; Cnidaria; Anthozoa; Malacalcyonacea; Plexauridae. The record is from the annotation of a GenBank genome assembly.
UGCAUGGUUUAACUAAUAAGUAUACGUCAUAGGGCAGCAGCUCAGGCCAUGCUUAACUAGGACUCUGAGACAACUGAGUCGACCACCGAAGGUGCGAGACUCUAGAGGGUGCAAGACUCUAGAGAGUGCGAGACUCAUGCUCCCCCCAGAAUAUUUUGGAUUUUUUAAAGCUCAGAUAAGCUAUUUCCAGCAUUCUGAGGAGUUUUCCAACAGGGAAUUAAUCUUACACUAGUCCCUGAAAAUCAAACUUAACCAGCUGAUCUUCUCGGACUGGUCAAAUCGAUCUCUGCACCAAAUACUGGGGCAGGAUACUUUUUUCCCCAGUUUGUUAGUGCAAGUAUUUUUUUUGUUCAGAAUAGCUUUGCAGGAAUUUUUUUUUUUAAAUCCCGCCCCCCCCCCCCUCAAAAGUUAAAUGUUCGGCCCCUUAGUAAAACAUGAACUCUUGGUAGGCAUGAUGUGCUAUUCCACUGAAUGAUUCAGACCAAUUUUUCCUGAAACAGUUUAAACAAUUUUUCAUUGUGUUAUAUUUUAAGCUGCCGUAUUUCUUGAGUCUGUGGGGGCAAGAUAUUUUUGAAAGUGUCGCGUAUCGAUUUAUUCCAGGAGGAACUUCCUAAUUAUGUACGUUUCCCUGAUGACCCCAUCUCCACCCCCCCACCUUACAAACCUAACACGAAAUUGAAUAGAGGUCGGUUGUAUCACAUGCGCUUGGCUUAAAGGGUGUAUAGGCAAAAAAUUAAAAACAUUCCUUCUCAAUAUACAUAUAUUGUAAGUACUUGAACUUAAUUUUAUCAAUUAAAUGAGUAGUUUUAUGCAUUAUUAUUAUGUUUAGACAGAAAAGAAAAGUCUAGUUUGCUUGUAGCCAAUAGUUCAUAGAUUUGUUUAAUUUAUACAACCGACCCCAGAUCUAUUUAUCGGCUGUUGUUCGCACGCAAACAAAUAUGUAAAUGCUUCAUAUUUAACUAUUGGCAAUUGUUUGCCGGUGGUCAGAAUGUCUGACACUAUCAAUCCAAAAUUCGUAAAUUAGUAUUGCAGGAAACAUGCCGAUUGUCGGAGAAUCUUUUAUCGAGUAUAUCAGUAUUUAUAAAGAAUAUCGUGUACACAACGCAACCGCGUCCAAAUUACGUUUCUCCUGGGAUAAAUCGAUGUGGACGUGUUAAAUAGCAAAGGUGUUUCUGUUUACAUAAAAAUCAAAAAAUCAUCUAUAUCUAUAUAGCAUUACCUAGCUGUCGGUAAAUAAUUUGGUAUUUAUUCCACAUUUACUUACAAUGGCCGAUGCUUCUUGAAACUUUACGUUAAAUAUCGAUGAGAUCUCUUGUACACUAAAGUUGAUGUUAUUAAAAUUACAAUUUACAAAAAAAAACAGACAAGGAACUACAUUUAGGCAUGUUUUACUAAUCGAGUCCAUGUUUUACUAAUCGAGUCCAUGUUUUACUAAUCGAGUCCAUGUUUUACUAAUCGAGUCCAUGUUUUACUAAUCGAGUCCAUGUUUUACUAAUCGAGUCCAUGUUUUACUAAUCGGGUCCAUGUUUUACUAAUCGGGUCCAUGUUUUACUAAUCGAGUCCAUGUUUUACUAAUCGAGUCCAUGUUUUACUAAUAGAGUCCAUGUUUUACUAAUAGAGUCCAUGUUUUACUAAUCGGGUCCAGUCCAUGUUUUACUAAUGAGUCCAGUCCAUGUUUUACUACAUGCCG